CCUACGGGAGGCAGCAGUGGGGAAUAUUGGGCAAUGGGCGCAAGCCUGACCCAGCAACGCCGCGUGAAGGAAGAAGGCUUUCGGGUUGUAAACUUCUUUUCUCAGGGACGAAGAAAGUGAAGGUACCUGAGGAAUAAGCGACGGAUAACUAAGUGACAGCAGCCGCGGUAAUAAGUAGGUGGCAAGCGUUAUCCGGAUUUACUGGGUGUACAGGGCGUGUAGGCGGUAAAGCAAGUCAGAUGUGAAAACCAUGGGCUCAUCCUGUGGCCUGCAUUUGAAACUGUUUUUCUUGAGUACUGGAGAGGCAGACGGAAUUCCUCGUGUAGCGGUGAAAUGCGUAGAGAUGAGGAGGAACACCAGUGGCGAAGGCGGUCUGCUGGACAGCGACUGACGCUGAGGCGCGAAAGCGUGGGGAGCAAACAGGAUUAGAUACCCCUGUAGUC
Molecule: ribosomal RNA, 443 nt
Filed under: uncultured bacterium
Lineage: Bacteria
Description: partial 16S ribosomal RNA
Rfam family: Bacterial small subunit ribosomal RNA
Source: RNAcentral